RNAcentral lists this ribosomal RNA (765 nucleotides) under uncultured bacterium. RNAcentral describes it as "bacterial SSU rRNA". It matches the Rfam family "Bacterial small subunit ribosomal RNA", at positions 23 to 774 of the family's 1533-position model. The record is from RNAcentral.
GUCAGCACGCUGGCGGCGUGCCUUAACACAUGCAAGUCGAACGGAGUUAUUCGCUGAUGCAGCUUCGGCAGAAUUCUUGAAUAACUUAGUGGCGGACGGGUGAGUAACGCGUGGGUAACCUGCCUCAUACAGGGGGAUAGCAGUUGGAAACGACUGAUAACACCGCAUAAGCGCACAGUAUCGCAUGAUACAGUGUGAAAAUAUUUAUAGGUAUGAGAUGGACCCGCGUCUGAUUAGCUAGUUGGUGAGGUAACGGCCCACCAAGGCGACGAUCAGUAGCCGGCCUGAGAGGGCGGACGGCCACAUUGGGACUGAGACACGGCCCAAACUCCUACGGGAGGCAGCAGUGGGGGAUAUUGCACAAUGGGCGAAAGCCUGAUGCAGCGACGCCGCGUGAGUGAAGAAGUAUUUCGGUAUGUAAAGCUCUAUCAGCAGGGAAGAAAGACCUCGUAAGAGGGGAUGACGGUACCUGAGUAAGAAGCCCCGGCUAACUACGUGCCAGCAGCCGCGGUAAUACGUAGGGGGCAAGCGUUAUCCGGAUUUACUGGGUGUAAAGGGAGCGUAGACGGUAUAUCAAGUCUGAAGUGAAACCCCACGGCUCAACCGUGGGCUUGCUUUGGAAACUGGUAUACUAGAGUACUGGAGAGGUAAGCGGAAUUCCUGGUGUAGUAGUGAAAUGCGUAGAUAUUAGGAGGAACAUCGGUGGCGAAGGCGGCUUACUGGACAGCAACUGACGUUGAGGCUCGAAGGCGUGGGGAGCAAACA